GAUGAAGAACGCAGCGAAACGCGAUAAUUAAUGGAAAUUGCAUACGUGAGUCAUCGAGUUUUUGAACGCACAUUGCGCCUGGUGGUAUUCCAGCAGGCACGUGGGAGUGAGCGUCAUUCGUAGUCGUUGUGAAUUCAAUCGAUUCGCUAAAUGAAUGGCAAGCACGUUGAGUUGUGUACAGCACCAACAAUUUUGACCUCAUUCUCACAGGGAGACCCGCUGAACUUAAGCAUAUCAAUAAGCGGAGGA
RNAcentral lists this unclassified non-coding RNA (249 nucleotides) under soil metagenome. RNAcentral describes it as "partial internal transcribed spacer 1". The stretch from base 1 to 116 matches the Rfam family "5.8S ribosomal RNA", at positions 35 to 154 of the family's 154-position model. The record is from RNAcentral.